GCGCCCGUAGCUCAGCUGGAUAGAGUAUUGCCCUCCGAAGGCAAGGGUCACAGGUUCGAAUCCUGUCGGGCGCGCCA
RNAcentral lists this transfer RNA (77 nucleotides) under Gammaproteobacteria bacterium RIFCSPHIGHO2_12_FULL_63_22. RNAcentral describes it as "tRNA-Arg". It matches the Rfam family "tRNA". Rfam says of the family: Transfer RNA (tRNA) molecules are approximately 80 nucleotides in length. Their secondary structure includes four short double-helical elements and three loops (D, anti-codon, and T loops). Lineage: Bacteria; Pseudomonadati; Pseudomonadota; Gammaproteobacteria. RNAcentral also lists the same sequence under 5 other names. The record is from RNAcentral.